GACGAACGCUGGCGGCGUGCUUAACACAUGCAAGUCGAACGGUGAUGCUCCAGCUUGCUGGAGUGGAUCAGUGGCGAACGGGUGAGUAACACGUGAGCAACCUGCCCCAGACUCUGGAAUAAGCGCUGGAAACGGCGUCUAAUACUGGAUACGAAACUGGCCCGCAUGAGCAUGGUUUGGAAAGUUUUUCGGUUUGGGAUGGGCUCGCGGCCUAUCAGCUUGUUGGUGAGGUAAUGGCUCACCAAGGCGACGACGGGUAGCCGGCCUGAGAGGGCGACCGGCCACACUGGGACUGAGACACGGCCCAGACUCCUACGGGAGGCAGCAGUGGGGAAUAUUGCACAAUGGGCGAAAGCCUGAUGCAGCGACGCCGCGUGAGGGAUGACGGCCUUCGGGUUGUAAACCUCUUUCAGCAGGGAAGAAGCGAAAGUGACGGUACCUGCAGAAGAAGCACCGGCUAACUACGUG
Molecule: ribosomal RNA, 468 nt
Filed under: uncultured bacterium
Lineage: Bacteria
Description: partial 16S ribosomal RNA
Rfam family: Bacterial small subunit ribosomal RNA
Source: RNAcentral